This is a long non-coding RNA of Notolabrus celidotus (New Zealand spotty), 1035 nucleotides long. RefSeq lists it as uncharacterized. Lineage: Eukaryota; Metazoa; Chordata; Actinopteri; Labriformes; Labridae. The record is from RefSeq and is a predicted model, not a curated record. The transcript is spliced from 3 exons.
CUCAAACACUGCUCCCACAAACCCCACCCACACGUCUCUCCCCUGCAGCUGAGCCUACACCAUGCCCCAUCAGCUUACUCAAAGACAGCCCUGAUGAAACCAAAGUGUGUUUGAGGUGAGCCACAGGCUCUUGUGGUUUGAUGACCUAGACUUUCUCCUGAUGGAGAAAACAGACGCCCAUUUCAAUCAGACCCCCCCACCUGCCACUCAUCUACCUCCUGUUGUUGAGCUUGAGUGGGUGGAUCGAGGUGGGGCUCAUUCCAUGUAGAGCAUAACAGAUCCUGAGAUCAACCCUACAGGGCAACCAGUUACCUGGUUGACAUCAUCAUCAUCCCCCUGGACAACUUGACACCAGGAAGUGACGUAACCAUAAGAUGUUAAAAAUAGACACAAGGGACCCAGGACACCAGACGUGGUUCAAGGGAAUGUUCUCUGAGGUCGAAUACUAAUGGGUUUUGUGGCUCCAUGUGUCUGUUCUCCUGUUUUGUGUCUUUUACAUAACACGACAGGUCAUAUUUCUUCACAGGAAUCUUAAACUAAUCAGCCAAUCUUUGCUAGUGUCAGCAGGAAACUUCAACAGACGUACGGGCAGCAUGGUUACUGUUUCUAAUUUGAUGUGUAAUGGAAGUUUGUGGCCUGUAAGGAAGAAUUAACUCAUGCUCAUCUUAUCUGAUUAGCCCGCUGGAACUGUAGAACUCACCUGCCAACAAGCUGUUGUCUGUUCAGCUCACUGGUUUCGGUCCUUUCACAGCUGCUGAGCCAAACCGAAAACGUGUUCAUUGAUAAUCAGUGAACUAAAUAAAAUGACAAAGCGAGAGCUGUAUUUGUCCGGAGGGUUUUAAACGAGCUCAGAGACAGUGAUGACAGACCAAUGAAAGUUUCUUCCUGUACUGAUAAGAUAGAGACUCCCCGGCUAUUUGAUUCCUGUGAGUAUCAGUCUCUUGUGACUUAGAUUUCAUAUGUAGUAAUGAACACAGAAAUUAUAUAAUUGGCCAAAAAAGGUCUUUAAAGCUCCUGUAAGAAUUUUUAGCUAUU